RNAcentral lists this ribosomal RNA (420 nucleotides) under uncultured bacterium. RNAcentral describes it as "bacterial SSU rRNA". It matches the Rfam family "Bacterial small subunit ribosomal RNA", at positions 28 to 416 of the family's 1533-position model. The record is from RNAcentral.
GAUGAACGCUGGCGGCAUGCUUUACACAUGCAAGUCGAACGGCAGCACAGCAGAGGUAACUCUGUGGGUGGCGAGUGGCGAACGGGUGAGUAAUACAUCGGAACGUACCCUGUUGUGGGGGGAUAACUACGCGAAAGCGUAGCUAAUACCGCAUACGCCCUGAGGGGAAGCGGGGACCCUAAAUAGAGCGCACUGGGAGUGCGUUGUAUUUAGGGCCUCGCGCAAUAGGAGCGGCCGAUGUCGGAUUAGCUAGUUGGUGAGGUAAAGGCUUACCAAGGCGACGAUCCGUAGCUGGUCUGAGAGGAUGAUCAGCCACACUGGGACUGAGACACGGCCCAGACUCCUACGGGAGGCAGCAGUGGGGAAUUUGGACAAUGGGGGCAACCCUGAUCCAGCCAUGCCGCGUGAGUGAAGAAGGCC